GUGGAGAUAAUUUGAUCCAAUUGAAGUAAAACAAAAUUAACAAGUAUUUAUCUUUAAACAUGGCAUUUAUGCAUGACAGGUAGAAUUAAGUUACAACUUGCACCCUCAAAAGAAAAUAACUGAUAUAAAGAUUAAUAAGUCUAUUAAUGUGUUGUAUAUGUUACACUAAAACCAAGUUAAAUAAUGUACAAUAACGUUGGUUACUAUACUUUAUUAUCCAAAAACUGCAGAAGAGUUAUACUUUCCAAGAAUAGAAUUGCAUGCACUUUUGUGUGUGGUAGCACAGUAUUUUUACAUAAGGGCCCAUUUUCUCAUUACUUUUUGAAACCUUUCCUGAAGUAAUAAAAACAAAAACAGUUUAACAAAACGUUACACUUCACUUGCAACAAAACAUGACAUAAUGCUCAUAGUGUGAUUCAGCAUGCAAAAGAAAGAUGAUCCUUGAAGCAUACAAUAUCAGAGUAUGGCACAAAGGUUGUAAGACACAACUGCAGAUUUGGCACCUAACUGAUAAUUAUACAAUUGAAAAUCUCUCAUGUUUCCUUUCUUUCACAUAUUGAACCUUUUGUUUCCAUACUUAACCAACAUCAUAGCAUAUCCUAUCUUCAUAACUCUAUAGAUUAUCAUUAUAUAUUGUUGAUGUCCAUAAGGAACCAUUAACUUACUCAUACAUUUUACUACUUGUUCUUCUUGGCUUUCAUUAGUUUUCAUUUCCUUAUAUAAAGCAUCCUUGCUCCAUUUGUUUUAAUCACAUUCCAUUGAAUUGAUUCCAACAAAAACAGGCAACAUGGAAAUGAAGAAGCUCUUAUGGGUAGCUCUAUCACUCGCCUUCCUUUUCGCAAUAGCCGAGAGCUUUGAUUUGCAUGAGAAUGAUUUAGCAUCAGAUGACAGUUUGUGGGACUUAUACGAGAGAUGGAGGAGUCACCACACAGUUUCUCAAAGUCUAGAUGAGAAGCACAAGCGCUUCAAUGUGUUCAAAACAAAUGUGAUGCAUGUCCACAACACUAACAAAAUGGACAAGCCUUAUAAGUUGAAACUGAACAAGUUUGCUGACAUGACCAACCAUGAAUUUAGAAGUAGCUAUGCUGGUUCAAAGAUUAACCACCACAUUAUGUUCAGAGGUAUUUCUAGUGGUAAUGGGUCCUUCAUGUAUGAGAAGUUUGAUAUAGUUCCUACUUCUAUAGAUUGGAGGAAGAAAGGUGCUGUCACCAUUAUAAAGGAUCAAGGUCAUUGUGGUAAGUUCAUUCAAUUACUAUGUUCAUCUUAUCUCUAUUUCAGGAAAGUAUGUGAUCAUAUAGAGGAUAGAGGUAUAUAUACAAAGGUUAUAAAAGAAAUUUCAUAAAUCUUGAUUAGACUAGUUAUGUAUUAAAUUAUGGUUGUGAUUACUACGAUCAUUAUGGUCAUUGUGAUGCAGAUUGCGGCAAUUGCCUAAUGCAACCCAAAUUCGGUUUGAUACAGUUGUGUUGCAACCCGAUGCAACCACAUAAUUGCGAUUCAGUGUUACACCAUAAUUAUGGUGUAAUGCGGUUGCAACUGUCAUCACAACUAUAAUAUUGUUACCACAGCACGUGAUACAGUCCGUAAUUUGAAUGAGUGAUAGUGUCUAUCUAUUACCUUAUAUGUAUUUAGUAAGGAUGAAUGUAAUGUAAUGUUAAUGAUGCUGUUGUUAAUGUCUACUAUAGGUAGUUGUUGGGCGUUUUCUACUGUUGUAGCAGUUGAAGGCAUUAACCAAAUCAAGACAAAUAAGCUAGUGACAUUGUCUGAACAAGUGCUUAUUGAUUGUGACAAUAAAGAAAAUCGUGGAUGCGAAGGUGGGCUAAUGGAAAAUGCUUUUGAGUUCAUAAAGAAAAAGGGUGGCAUAACAACAGACAGAAAUUACCCUUAUGCAGCAGCAGAUGGAACCUGUAAUAAAUCAAAGGUUCAUAUAUAAUGUUGAGUUUUUUAUGAAACCAAUAUUAUUGACCAAUAACUAGAGUAAUUUAAAGAUGCAAAAUAAUUCAUAUUUUUGCAGAUGAAUAAUGUGGUUGUGUCAAUUGAUGGUCAUGAGAAAGUACCUGCAAACAAUGAAGAGGCACUGCUUAAAGCAGUUGCCAACCAACCUAUAUCUGUAGCCAUAGAUGCUGGAGGAACUGAUUUCCAGUUUUACUCAGAGGUAAAUUUCUUCACUGUUAAAUUUGUUAAAACUUGCUCAAAUCGAAGCAUUAGUGACUAGUGACCCCCACCAUAUAUCCUAAUUCCCUCCACAUAAAGGGAAGGUUAUGGAGCAAUCAAAUUCAUUUGUGAAAUAGCUCUGAAGUCUUCUAUUUCCGUUCCUUCUCCUAUACCAAAACCUAACUCGCAAACAAUUCCCUAUCAAUAUUGACACAAAUGGGUAUUCAUAAUUUUGUCUACUAAUGAUUACAGGGAGUAUUUACUGGUGAAUGUGGCACAGAUCUAAAUCAUGGUGUAGCAAUUGUGGGCUAUGGAAAAACUCUU
Molecule: long non-coding RNA, 2475 nt
Filed under: Lupinus angustifolius (narrow-leaved blue lupine)
Lineage: Eukaryota; Viridiplantae; Streptophyta; Magnoliopsida; Fabales; Fabaceae
Description: long non-coding RNA (LANG_LNC002285)
Source: RNAcentral